UACAGAGGGUGCAAGCGUUGUUCGGAAUCAUUGGCGUAAAGCGCGCGCAGGCGGGCGUGCAAGUCGGAGUGAAAUUCCGGGGCUCAACCCCGGCGCUGCUCCCGAAACUGCAGGUCUAGAGACCGGUAGAGGCCGGUGGAAUUCCCGGUGUAGCGGUGGAAUGCGUAGAGAUCGGGAAGAACACCCGUGGCGAAGGCGGCCGGCUGGGCCGGUCUGACGCUGAGGCGCGAAAGCGUGGGGAGCAAACAGGAUGAGAAACCCGGG
RNAcentral lists this ribosomal RNA (264 nucleotides) under uncultured bacterium. RNAcentral describes it as "partial 16S ribosomal RNA". It matches the Rfam family "Bacterial small subunit ribosomal RNA", at positions 524 to 790 of the family's 1533-position model. The record is from RNAcentral.